GAUGAAGAACGUAGCGAAAUGCGAUAAGUAAUGUGAAUUGCAGAAUUCAGUGAAUCAUCGAAUCUUUGAACGCACAUUGCGCCCCUUGGUAUUCCGAGGGGCAUGCCUGUUCGAGCGUCAUUAUAACCCCUCAAGCUCAGCUUGGUGUUGGGGCCUGCCGCACGGGCAGCCCUUAAAAUCAGUGGCGGUGCCAUCUGGCUCUAAGCGUAGUAAUUCUUCUCGCUAUAGAGUCCCGGUGGAUGCUUGCCAUUAACCCCCAAUGUUCUAUGGUUGACCUCGGAUCAGGUAGGGAUACCCGCUGAACUUAAGCAUAUCAAUAAGCGGAGGA
This 328-nucleotide unclassified non-coding RNA is filed under the name soil metagenome. RNAcentral describes it as "partial contains 5.8S ribosomal RNA, internal transcribed spacer 2, and large subunit ribosomal RNA". The stretch from base 1 to 120 matches the Rfam family "5.8S ribosomal RNA", at positions 35 to 154 of the family's 154-position model. The record is from RNAcentral.